RNAcentral lists this ribosomal RNA (1275 nucleotides) under Triticum aestivum (bread wheat). Its description in RNAcentral is "partial small subunit ribosomal RNA". Lineage: Eukaryota; Viridiplantae; Streptophyta; Magnoliopsida; Poales; Poaceae. The record is from RNAcentral.
AUGGAUGGGCAAAGCAGAAAGCACAGGAUUUUGAUGGUGUCCGACUUCUUCUUCCCAAACUUUGGUGGUGUGGAAAGCCACAUCUAUUAUCUAUCACAGUGCCUCCUUAAGCUUGGCCAUAAGGUUGUUGUCAUGACACAUGCAUAUGGAAAACGUUCUGGAGUACGAUAUGUUACUGGUGGCUUGAAGGUUUAUUAUGUGCCGUGGAGGCCAUUCCUGAUGCAGAAUACACUACCUACAUUAUUCAUGACAUUUCCAAUCAUAAGGACAAUUCUUAUUCGUGAGAGGAUAUCUGUUGUGCAUGGACAUCAGGCCUUUUCAACACUGUGCCACGAAGCGUUGAUGCAUGCUAGGACGAUGGGGUACAAAUUUACUCUUGCAGAUAUUGAUCAGGCCAUAUGUGUGUCUCACACAAGCAAAGAGAACACUGUCUUGAGGUCAGGGAUAUCUCCGGACAAAGUUUUCAUGGUUCCUAAUGCAGUGGAUACCGCAAUGUUUACUCCCUCCUCCAACCGCUUAAGCUGUGAUGAAAUCAUUAUUGUUGUGAUAAGUAGAUUGGUAUAUCGAAAAGGUGCUGACCUUCUUGUUGAAGUCAUUCCAGAAGUAUGCCGUCUAUUUCCAAAGGUUCGCUUUAUUGUUGGAGGUGAUGGUCCAAAACGUGUGCGACUUGAAGAGAUGAGGGAGAAGUUCUCCCUUCAGGAUAGAGUUGAGAUGUUAGGGGCUGUACCUCAUGCUCAAGUACGAUCUGUUCUGAUAUCUGGUCAUAUAUUUCUGAACAGUUCGCUUACAGAAGCAUUUUGCAUAGCCAUUCUGGAAGCAGCAAGCUGUGGGCUUUUGACAGUAAGCACUAGAGUCGGAGGGGUUCCAGAGGUUCUACCAGAUGACAUGAUAGUACUAGCAGAACCAGAUCCAGAAGAUAUGGUACGGGCUGUGAGGCAAGCUAUCGACAUACUUCCUGGUAUAGAUCCCCAAAUUAUGCAUCGCCGGAUGAAAAAACUCUACAGUUGGGAUGAUGUGGCCAAAAGAACAGAGAUUGUCUACGAUCGUGCAAUGCAGUCAUCAAACACUAAUUUGCUAGAUCGUCUUCCCCGAUACCUCACAUGUGGAGCUUGGGCAGGCAAACUGUUUUGCCUCGUUAUGAUCAUAAACUACCUUGUGUGGUGCCUUCUAGAAUUCCUGCAGCCUGCUGAAGGUAUCGAAGAAGUCCCAGAUAUAGGGCCACUGCACAUUCAUUCGGAUUCAGUAGAUGACCAGUGCGAAGCGCAACGAAAUUGA